Molecule: long non-coding RNA, 1144 nt
Filed under: Marmota monax (woodchuck)
Lineage: Eukaryota; Metazoa; Chordata; Mammalia; Rodentia; Sciuridae
Source: RNAcentral
CUCAAGGAAGAUAUAGCUAACAUAGAAAGGUUAAGAAAAGAAUGAAUAGAUUUCAACUGGAUUUUUAUCCUUAAAAAAAUUAAGAAUUUCUUGUUUGCCAAAUAAGAUUUAAAUAAGACAGCCUAGAAAAGUAUAUUUUAAUUAAUAGAUUAAAUGAGGCAGGUGAUGACAUUUUCCAAGUAUAUAUUUAACAGAAACUAUAUGUACAAAGAUCUGGCUUUCAUGGUAAACUUAUAUUUGAUAUUAGUUUCUCUCUCAAUCAGCCAAUCAUAUGAGAGAAUGCAAAUAUACUGAAGUGCUACAGACAUUUUUCUACUAAAGAUUCCUAUUGUUUUACUUCAUGGAAAAUACAAACGUUUAUACGCAUGUGUACAUAUGUAGAACUUUAACCUUAUUGCUUUUAAAAAUUACUGUAUUUUGAAACAUAUAAUUCAUCAAAGAGAGUACACAAAAGUUAUAUGUACCAUUUAAAGAAUAAUGAAAACAUCCGUAUACCCACACAGGCCAAGAAGUAGAAAUUUACCACUAGAAGCCACCAGGUAUCCCUUUAUUAAUGCACUUCAUGUAUCUCUAAAGAUAAAUACAUCCUGAGUUAUUUUAUAAUCCUUCCUUUGGUCUUUUUAGUUUUAUCAUCUACCAAUAUUUUGGCCCUUUUAAAAUUUCUAUAUAAAAAUAAUAAUACUUCAAGUAUUUUUCUAUGAUUUUAGUCCUUACCUUGACCAUCAAAACUGAGAUUCAUCCAUUAUGUGUGGUUGUUCUUUCAUUUAUACUGUUGUAAUGUAUUCUACUCAUUUGUUUUGUUUCAUUUUUGAGAUGGGGUCUUAUUCUGUUGCCCAGGCUGGUCUCGAACUCCUGGGCUUAGGUGAUCCUCUUGCCUCAGCUUCCUAAGUGUUGGGACUACACGUGUGUGCCACCAUGCCCAGCUAAUAUCCUACUCUUGUUGAAGUUAUUUCUUUUUAAUUGUUAGAAACAUUCAUGUACAUAUCUCCUGGUACACAUGUGAAAGAAUAUCUCUAGGGAUUAUAUCAGAGAGUUCUAGUCUUGCACAUUUUCAACUUCAUUAGGUAACACAAAACUAUUUUCCAAAAUGAUUGUACCAAUUUAUAUUCUACCAACAGUGAAGGAAAAUCCAUACAUUCUUGCC